RNAcentral lists this unclassified non-coding RNA (308 nucleotides) under uncultured Agaricales. Its description in RNAcentral is "sequence contains 5.8S rRNA gene, ITS2, 28S rRNA gene". Lineage: Eukaryota; Fungi; Basidiomycota; Agaricomycetes; Agaricales. The record is from RNAcentral.
AACGCACCUUGCGCCCCUUGGUAUUCCGAGGAGCAUGCCUGUUUGAGUGUCAUGAAAUUCUCAACCUUACCUGCUUUGGUGGUAGGUCACCAAAAGGUUUGGAUGUGGAAGAUUGCAGGCUUUUUCAUAUCUGAAGCCGGCUCUUCUGAAAUGCAUUUGCAGGACUCCAUUGUCUUAUAGGCCUUGGUAUGAUAAACUAUCUAUGCCUUCGCCAGGAGACAUUUUGGUUCUGCUCUCUAAAUCGUCCCACACAGACAAGUUUUGACACUUUUGACCUCAAAUCAGGUAGGAUUACCCGCUGAACUUAA